This is a long non-coding RNA of Bufo bufo (common toad), 128 nucleotides long. RefSeq lists it as uncharacterized. The record is from RefSeq and is a predicted model, not a curated record. NCBI's taxonomy places the organism in Eukaryota, Metazoa, Chordata, Amphibia, Anura, Bufonidae. The transcript has 3 exons.
GCACUGCUCUCUGAGGAGGAGACCCCCAGCCAUGUGCUCCGGGGGGGUUAGAAACUCUUCUGGAUCCUCCACAGCCUGACAAAUCCAUCUAGCCUGCAUAAAAGGCAAGUUCUGGACGCCAUCCUGGA